GACGAACGCUGGCGGCGUGCUUAACACAUGCAAGUCGAACGGAAAAGCCCUGCUUUUGUGGGGUUCUCGAGUGGCGAACAGGUGAGUAUCACGUGAGUAACCUGCCCUUCACUUUGGGAUAACUUCAGGAAACUCGGGCUAAUACCGGAUAUGAGCUCCUGCUGCAUGGUUGUUGUGGUAGAGUUUCGGCGGUUGGGGAUGGACUCGCGGCUUAGCAGCGUGUUGGUGGGGUAGUGGCUUACCAAGGCUUUGACGGGUAGCCGGCUUGAGAGGGUGACAGGCCACAUUGGGACUGAGAUACGAGCCAGAGUCCUACGGGAGGAAGGAGUGGGGAACAUUGCAAGAUGGGCGGAAGCAGGAUGCAGCAACGCCGCGUGGGGGAUGACGGCCUUCGGGUUGUAACCCGCUUUCGCCUGUGACGAAGCGUGAGUGACGGUAAUGGGUAAAGAAGCAACGGCUAACUACGUG
RNAcentral lists this ribosomal RNA (468 nucleotides) under uncultured bacterium. RNAcentral describes it as "partial 16S ribosomal RNA". It matches the Rfam family "Bacterial small subunit ribosomal RNA", at positions 28 to 507 of the family's 1533-position model. The record is from RNAcentral.